RNAcentral lists this ribosomal RNA (1384 nucleotides) under Microbacterium testaceum. RNAcentral describes it as "bacterial SSU rRNA". It matches the Rfam family "Bacterial small subunit ribosomal RNA". Lineage: Bacteria; Bacillati; Actinomycetota; Actinomycetes; Micrococcales; Microbacteriaceae. The record is from RNAcentral.
GUCGAACGGUGAAGCCAAGCUUGCUUGGUGGAUCAGUGGCGAACGGGUGAGUAACACGUGAGCAACCUGCCCUGGACUCUGGGAUAAGCGCUGGAAACGGCGUCUAAUACUGGAUAUGAGCUCUCAUCGCAUGGUGGGGGUUGGAAAGAUUUUUCGGUCUGGGAUGGGCUCGCGGCCUAUCAGCUUGUUGGUGAGGUAAUGGCUCACCAAGGCGUCGACGGGUAGCCGGCCUGAGAGGGUGACCGGCCACACUGGGACUGAGACACGGCCCAGACUCCUACGGGAGGCAGCAGUGGGGAAUAUUGCACAAUGGGCGGAAGCCUGAUGCAGCAACGCCGCGUGAGGGAUGACGGCCUUCGGGUUGUAAACCUCUUUUAGCAGGGAAGAAGCGAGAGUGACGGUACCUGCAGAAAAAGCGCCGGCUAACUACGUGCCAGCAGCCGCGGUAAUACGUAGGGCGCAAGCGUUAUCCGGAAUUAUUGGGCGUAAAGAGCUCGUAGGUGGUUUGUCGCGUCUGCUGUGAAAUCCCGAGGCUCAACCUCGGGCCUGCAGUGGGUACGGGCAGACUAGAGUGCGGUAGGGGAGAUUGGAAUUCCUGGUGUAGCGGUGGAAUGCGCAGAUAUCAGGAGGAACACCGAUGGCGAAGGCAGAUCUCUGGGCCGUAACUGACGCUGAGGAGCGAAAGGGUGGGGAGCAAACAGGCUUAGAUACCCUGGUAGUCCACCCCGUAAACGUUGGGAACUAGUUGUGGGGACCAUUCCACGGUUUCCGUGACGCAGCUAACGCAUUAAGUUCCCCGCCUGGGGAGUACGGCCGCAAGGCUAAAACUCAAAGGAAUUGACGGGGACCCGCACAAGCGGCGGAGCAUGCGGAUUAAUUCGAUGCAACGCGAAGAACCUUACCAAGGCUUGACAUAUACGAGAACGGGCCAGAAAUGGUCAACUCUUUGGACACUCGUAAACAGGUGGUGCAUGGUUGUCGUCAGCUCGUGUCGUGAGAUGUUGGGUUAAGUCCCGCAACGAGCGCAACCCUCGUUCUAUGUUGCCAGCACGUAAUGGUGGGAACUCAUGGGAUACUGCCGGGGUCAACUCGGAGGAAGGUGGGGAUGACGUCAAAUCAUCAUGCCCCUUAUGUCUUGGGCUUCACGCAUGCUACAAUGGCCGGUACAAAGGGCUGCAAUACCGUGAGGUGGAGCGAAUCCCAAAAAGCCGGUCCCAGUUCGGAUUGAGGUCUGCAACUCGACCUCAUGAAGUCGGAGUCGCUAGUAAUCGCAGAUCAGCAACGCUGCGGUGAAUACGUUCCCGGGUCUUGUACACACCGCCCGUCAAGUCAUGAAAGUCGGUAACACCUGAAGCCGGUGGCCCAACCCUUGUGGAGGGAGCCG